Molecule: long non-coding RNA, 467 nt
Organism: Hippocampus zosterae (dwarf seahorse)
Lineage: Eukaryota; Metazoa; Chordata; Actinopteri; Syngnathiformes; Syngnathidae
Exons: 2
Source: RefSeq, a predicted model, not a curated record
CGAAGAAACAUGUUCGCUUUGCCGUUUUCAUUCAUCAGAUUCGAAACGAAGACGUAUCAUCGCAUCGAAACGUAGAAGAACUGUAACGACUGGAACAGAGCGAGUGAAAUGCAUCCAUCCGUUUGAGCGAGGCUGGACAUAAAGUUAAAAAGAUCAGGCAGACACUUGGAGUCGGAAAGACGCAAAUCUACGAAACUUUAAAAAACAAGGCAUCGAUUCAACUCCUGAUGACAAGCCACCAUCCAGCAAGGAAGCAAUGCGAAUGGCAACAAAAAUCCUUCAGUAUGCACAAGAAUUACCAGACAUCGGUGAUCAACGGGACAGUUACUUGCAACUAGCAAGAAAAACUGUAUGACACGCAGGCAAACAUUGUCAUAAACCAAAGAAUGCAUCCAACAAAACAAUCCAAAAUACACAUUUUUUUCCCAAGACAGAAAAAAAUAAACAUUAAAAUACUGUAUGUAUUU